UACAGAGGGGGCAAGCGUUAUUCGGAUUUACUGGGCGUAAAGGGCGCGUAGGCGGCCAGCACAAGUCAGUUGUGAAAUCUCCGAGCUUAACUCGGAAAGGUCAACUGAUACUGUGCGGCUAGAGUGCAGAAGGGGCAACUGGAAUUCUUGGUGUAGCGGUGAAAUGCGUAGAUAUCAAGAGGAACACCUGCGGCGAAGGCGGGUUGCUGGGCUGACACUGACGCUGAGGCGCGAAAGCUAGGGGAGCGAACGGG
This 254-nucleotide ribosomal RNA is filed under the name uncultured bacterium. RNAcentral describes it as "partial 16S ribosomal RNA". It matches the Rfam family "Bacterial small subunit ribosomal RNA", at positions 524 to 776 of the family's 1533-position model. The record is from RNAcentral.